AAAUAAUAAUAAUAAUAAUAAAAAAUCAAGUAUCUUUUUAUCACUGUUUAAUCAAAGUUUGAUUUGAAGUUGCUACAGAAUCAUCCUGCUCUGUGUGAAUAAGGAAAGGAUAUGGUAUUGAGAAUAACGUCAAUUUUCUUAACCUAAACUGCAGUGAAACUUCUCUCCCUACCAAAACAAAACAAAGCAGAAGGCAUGUGACAGGCUGUUGUUAUAACAGUACGGGAGAGGAAAACGAGGAACCAAAAACAGGCUGUAGCAGAAGAAGAUGGAGGAAUUGCUGUGUUUACCUCCUAGUGUUCUAUUUUUAACCCACUGUAUGCUGUAAGCUUCAUGGUGAGGUGAAGUUGUGCAGAAGAUGUUAAGGUCUCACAGACAAGUGAGCAACGAAUCCUGCUGCCAACAUUACUCCAGAGCAAGGAGGUGGUCAGGCUGAGAGGAGCUUCUUAACCUCCAGAUUUGGAAGUACAGCAAAGCUGAUGACUGCAUUGAGUAUUUGUAAAAGGCCAGCAGAAAGAAUCCCUGAGGAACAUCAUCUUCACAUGAAAUACGAAACAUCCGUUUUGUUAAGGUCCUCACAUCUGCUCAGGUGAUGCCAGAAAUCUCUGGUGCCACAAGCUCCUAAGGGAACUGAAACAAAGGAAGAGCAGUGAAGGGAAACAUAUACUACAUGUCUGCCUACUCUGCUAAGCUCUCAGACUCUCCUAGAGCCUCCAGAAAUAUCUGUUGCUUGUUUCAAGUUACAAUAGACGUUUUGGGCAGUACUGUUUAGGUUUGAGUCUCAAUAUAUUAAUAUAUAUGAAUGGGGUAAUAUAUUUGGGAGACUUGUGAUAAUAAAUUACUUUCUGUAUUGUACUUAGUGUUAAGG
This 868-nucleotide long non-coding RNA is filed under the name Phasianus colchicus (ring-necked pheasant). RNAcentral's name for it is "lncRNA (ENSPCLG00000020918.1)". Lineage: Eukaryota; Metazoa; Chordata; Aves; Galliformes; Phasianidae. The record is from RNAcentral.